UACGAAGGGGGCUAGCGUUGUUCGGAAUUACUGGGCGUAAAGAGUGUGUAGGCGGUGUUCUAAGUUUGUCGUGAAAUCUCCCGGCUUAACUGGGAGGGUGCGGCGAAAACUGGAAUGCUAGAGGAUGGGAGAGGUAAGCGGAAUUCCUGGUGUAGCGGUGAAAUGCGUAGAUAUCAGGAGGAACACCUGUGGUGUAGACAGCUUACUGGACCAUUUCUGACGCUGAGACACGAAAGCGUGGGUAGCAAACAGG
This 253-nucleotide ribosomal RNA is filed under the name uncultured bacterium. RNAcentral describes it as "partial 16S ribosomal RNA". It matches the Rfam family "Bacterial small subunit ribosomal RNA", at positions 524 to 776 of the family's 1533-position model. The record is from RNAcentral.